Molecule: ribosomal RNA, 279 nt
Filed under: uncultured bacterium
Lineage: Bacteria
Description: partial 16S ribosomal RNA
Rfam family: Bacterial small subunit ribosomal RNA
Source: RNAcentral
UGCCAGCCGCCGCGGUAAUACGUAGGGUGCCAGCGUUGUUCGGAAUUAUUGGGCGUAAAGCGCAUGUAGGCGGUUCGUUAAGUCUGAUGUGAAAGCCCACGGCCCAACCGUGGAAUUGCCUUUGAUACUGCCGUUCUUGAGUCUCGGAGAGGUCGCUGGAAUUCGUGGUGUAGCGGUGAAAUGCGUAGAUAUCACGAGGAACACCAGAGGCGCAGGCGGGCGACUGGACGAGUACUGACGCUGAGGCACGCAAGCGUGGUGAGCAAACAGGAUUAGAUA